UUGGGAUAGCGCAAGUGAGCUGAACUUCUGCGCUGGUGUAGUGUACUAUCCUCAAUUUAAUACUUUAUUUCUGAAAUUAUUUUCUUGGAGGAAAACAGCUCCAGCCGUGUGUGUUUUUACAGAACGCAAUUAAGGAUUGAUGGAUUUGCUCUUCAUCCAGUUAUUAACGGUUUUAUUAGGAAGUUGAGAUGUUUACAGAGCUAUCCAGGCUUUCCAGCGGCAUCAGAACUUGUGAUUUCUGAAAGCAGGUAAGCCACUGACUAACGCACAUUGCGCCUAUUCUCCACUCCACUGUGCGUGUGACAGCGGCUAACCAGCUUUUGGAUGUGUGCCUGACUUCAGCGGCCGUGGGAACGUCCCACCGGAGACUCCUGAGCGGGUCAAGGCGGAUACGGUCACUGGAGGGACGCUUUCGGGUCCCCCUGACCCUCCACGAGUCUUUUUGUUCCCGUAGCUCAACUGGUAAAGCCCUGCACAUUGAAAACCAGAGGUUGUGUGUUCGAUUCCCAUGCGGAACGUGUGCUGGAGAAA
Long non-coding RNA from Labeo rohita (rohu), 531 nucleotides. RefSeq lists it as uncharacterized. NCBI's taxonomy places the organism in Eukaryota, Metazoa, Chordata, Actinopteri, Cypriniformes, Cyprinidae. The transcript has 2 exons. The record is from RefSeq and is a predicted model, not a curated record.